This 465-nucleotide ribosomal RNA is filed under the name Vreelandella stevensii. RNAcentral describes it as "partial 16S ribosomal RNA". It matches the Rfam family "Bacterial small subunit ribosomal RNA", at positions 338 to 795 of the family's 1533-position model. Lineage: Bacteria; Pseudomonadati; Pseudomonadota; Gammaproteobacteria; Oceanospirillales; Halomonadaceae. The record is from RNAcentral.
CCUACGGGUGGCAGCAGUGGGGAAUAUUGGACAAUGGGCGAAAGCCUGAUCCAGCCAUGCCGCGUGUGUGAAGAAGGCCUUCGGGUUGUAAAGCACUUUCAGUGGGGAAGAAAGCCUUGGGGCUAAUACCCUCGAGGAAGGACAUCACCCACAGAAGAAGCACCGGCUAACUCCGUGCCAGCAGCCGCGGUAAUACGGAGGGUGCGAGCGUUAAUCGGAAUUACUGGGCGUAAAGCGCGCGUAGGCGGUCUGAUAAGCCGGUUGUGAAAGCCCCGGGCUCAACCUGGGAACGGCAUCCGGAACUGUCAGGCUAGAGUGCAGGAGAGGAAGGUAGAAUUCCCGGUGUAGCGGUGAGAUGCGUAGAGAUCGGGAGGAAUACCAGUGGCGAAGGCGGCCUUCUGGACUGACACUGACGCUGAGGUGCGAAAGCGUGGGUAGCAAACAGGAUUAGCUACCCCGGUAGUC